This 254-nucleotide ribosomal RNA is filed under the name uncultured bacterium. RNAcentral describes it as "partial 16S ribosomal RNA". It matches the Rfam family "Bacterial small subunit ribosomal RNA", at positions 524 to 776 of the family's 1533-position model. The record is from RNAcentral.
UACGGAGGGUGCAAGCGUUAUCCGGAUUCACUGGGUUUAAAGGGUGCGUAGGUGGGCAGGUAAGUCAGUGGUGAAAUCUCUGGGCUUAACCCGGAACUGCCGUUGAUACUAUCUGUCUUGAAUGUAGUGGAGGUGAGCGGAAUAUGUCAUGUAGCGGUGAAAUGCUUAGAUAUGACAUAGAACAUCGAUUGCGAAGGCAGCUCGCUACACUAUGAUUGACACUGAGGCACGGAAAGCGUGGGGGAUCAAACAGG